This 253-nucleotide long non-coding RNA is filed under the name Musa acuminata (dwarf banana). RNAcentral's name for it is "long non-coding RNA (MACU_LNC007280)". The record is from RNAcentral. Lineage: Eukaryota; Viridiplantae; Streptophyta; Magnoliopsida; Zingiberales; Musaceae.
GAAGUUCAAGUUCAUCAUUGUCCUCAUCACUUGAGUCAUCGCUCAAGUGGUAUUCAUUUGUUCGGAGUUCCAAAUCCUUCCUAUUCUUUGGAAGGUGGUUCAAGUGUUCAUUGUGUUCAUCAUGUGCAUUGCGCACCAUUUCAUAUGUCAUCAAUGAGCCGAUAAGUUCUUCAAGUGGAAAAAUAUUUAAAUCUUUUGUUUCUUGUAUUGUCGUUACUUUUGAUUCCCAAGCUUUAGAAAGUGAUCGUAAAAC